UACGUAGGGUGCGAGCGUUAAUCGGAAUUACUGGGCGUAAAGCGUGCGCAGGCGGUUCGUUAAGUUCGUUGUGAAAGCCCCGGGCUCAACCUGGGAACUGCAAUGGAAACUGGCGGGCUUGAGUGUGGCAGAGGGGGGUGGAAUUCCGCGUGUAGCAGUGAAAUGCGUAGAGAUGCGGAGGAACACCGAUGGCGAAGGCAGCCCCCUGGGCCGACACUGACGCUCAGGCACGAAAGCGUGGGGAGCAAACAGG
This 253-nucleotide ribosomal RNA is filed under the name uncultured bacterium. RNAcentral's name for it is "partial 16S ribosomal RNA". It matches the Rfam family "Bacterial small subunit ribosomal RNA", at positions 524 to 776 of the family's 1533-position model. The record is from RNAcentral.